UAAUACAGAGGGUGCGAGCGUUGUCCGGAAUCACUGGGCGUAAAGGGCGCGUAGGUGGUAACCUAAGCGUGCGGUGAAAGCCCGAGGCUCAACCUCGGGUCGGCCGUGCGAACUGGGUCACUUGAGCAGAAUAGAGGCAGGUGGAAUUCCGGGUGUAGCGGUGGAAUGCGUAGAGAUCCGGAAGAACACCGGUGGCGAAGGCGGCCUGCUGGGUUCUGGCUGACACUGAGGCGCGACAGCGUGGGGAGCAAACA
RNAcentral lists this ribosomal RNA (254 nucleotides) under uncultured bacterium. RNAcentral's name for it is "partial 16S ribosomal RNA". It matches the Rfam family "Bacterial small subunit ribosomal RNA", at positions 521 to 774 of the family's 1533-position model. The record is from RNAcentral.